Molecule: ribosomal RNA, 791 nt
Filed under: Parmelina sp. PN-2010
Lineage: Eukaryota; Fungi; Ascomycota; Lecanoromycetes; Lecanorales; Parmeliaceae
Description: eukaryotic LSU rRNA
Rfam family: 5.8S ribosomal RNA (bases 469-622)
Source: RNAcentral
GUAAAAAGUCGUAACAAGGUUUCCCUAGGUGAAGGUUUGCCUGCGGAGAUCCCUGCAGCGACUCUAAAGAACUGCUCUCAGUCGCCCCGUCUGAUUGGGCCGGCAACGCUAUUAUUCUGCGCUGGGAGCCCUCCGUUUUGGGGGGUCGACCAGCAGCUCAAGGAAAGCCCUCGAGUUCACAGAUCAAACGACAGCGGCCACCUUCGUGGUUCAGAUAUGAUCGGCCCCAACCGCUCCGCGGCUGGCGAAAUUUUUGCGGAACCUGCGGAAGGAUCAUUACCGAGAGAGGGGCUCCGCGCUCCCGAGGGCUUCGGCCCUCGACUCUUUACCCGAUGGCUAUCUACCUUUGUUGCUUUGGCGGACCUUGGGGCUUCCCCCGCGCCGACUUCCGGGUCAGCGAGUGUCCGCCAAAGGUCCAUCAAUAUUCGUUUUAAUCCUGAUGUCUGAGUACAAAAAAACAAUAAUAAAAACUUUCAACAACGGAUCUCUUGGUUCCAGCAUCGAUGAAGAACGCAGCGAAAUGCGAUAAGUAAUGUGAAUUGCAGAAUUCAGUGAAUCAUCGAAUCUUUGAACGCACAUUGCGCCCCUCGGUAUUCCGGGGGGCAUGCCUGUUCGAGCGUCAUUAUACCCCUCAAGCGUAGCUUGGUAUUGGGUUCUCGCCCCUGCGGCGUGCCCGAAAAGCAGUGGCGGUCCGGUGCGACUUCAAGCGUAGUAAAUUUGAUCCCGCUUCGAAAGAUCGCUUCGUGGCUAGCCAGAUAAGCCCACCGCUUCUUUAAUGACCUCGGAUCAGG